This 3621-nucleotide long non-coding RNA is filed under the name Canis lupus dingo (dingo). Its description in RNAcentral is "lncRNA (ENSCAFG00020011384.1)". Lineage: Eukaryota; Metazoa; Chordata; Mammalia; Carnivora; Canidae. The record is from RNAcentral.
GAGCUUUAACGGGUUUUAGUUGCCUGUGGAAAUAUAUACCAAAUAUUUAGCAUUUUUACUAAGUGCUGGAGGCCCCUCCAGUGCCUUCCUCGCGGGGGCUGCUUUGUCAUUCUCUUUGACUUGCCAGCCAUCUACCUUGCUGAGGCUGGAAUAAAAGAAGAAAAAAAAAAAAAAGGAAGGAAGGAAGGAUAGAAAAAGAAAGAGGAAAGAAAGAAAAAGAAGAAAAAAAGAAGAAGGAAAGAGGAGAGAGGAAAAGGGGAAAGAAAAAUUUUAAAGGAGUCAUCUACCCACCCACUUCCCCUCCCUUCUCUUCCCAUUUUGGAGGCGGCACAGGAGCCCCUGGCGCAGAACAGCUCGGCUCCCAGGCAGACUGGGGUGGGGGGGGGCGGGCAGCGACUCUCUCUCUCAGGUACAGAACCGGUAGCUUCUGCGAAGAUGGAGGGGAAUUAGGCUUCUGGUUCCUCUGAAAUAUUGGCAAAAGGCUCCCCAAGGUUCGGCGGCGGGAGUGGGGCGGGGGAGACGGCUCUCCCCAGCCUGCACCCACCCCUUCCCACCUCGCCUCCCAAAUGACAGCCUGGUGCUGGCUCUGCGUGAUUUGGCCUUGGCUUCAGCCAAGCAGCUGAUGCAGAGGAGGCCCCGUUUGCAGGACUGACUGGCAAAGUGCACGCUGAAGAAAGAAGGAAGAAAUUUUUUAAAGCAGCUCUGGGGAGGUUUCUCGUUCCUUAAAAAAAAAAAAAAAGAAAGAAAGAAAGAAAGAAAGAAAGAAAGAAAGAAAGAAAGAAAGAAAGAAAAGAAAAGAAAAGAAAAAAAAAGAAUUAAAAAAAUUUUUAACUGAAUAUUUUCCAAAUUCGAUCAGCCCCAGCCCCUCCCUGCGCCUCCCCCAAAUUGCCUUUUUUUUUUCCCUCCCUCGUCAAAGCAUAAACUACAGAGUUACAGUCUCUAGAUUUGGUGUAACGCUUCCUGCCCCCGCCUCCCCUCCCCGCCCCGUUGUCGGUCCUCUAUUGAAACACCUCGCCCAGGCUAGCGCACUGCGAGCUCACAUUCCCCCCCUUGCUCGGAAUGGUGUUACGGGAGCCUGCAGCCCAGCUCCGCUUCCAAUGGUUGUGUCGAUGUUCCUUUCAGCUGGUCCCAUAGCCCCCCUCCUCAGGAAGGUCUCCCCAGUGAAAGAACAAAAAUGGCACUGGCCACAGCUGCACUGGUGGACGCUCAAGCCAACUAUGAAGUUGAAACAAAGGAAGCUAUCACCUGAAGACACUUCUCCUGCUAAGCAGCCCCCCUAAAUGGUGCGAUUUCAGGCAAUAGAACUCCCAGAACACCAGGCAAUCUUUUCAAGAAACAGAAAAAAACUUCAUGGUGACAUCUAGAUUUCUCAGGAGCCAAGGACUUUCCCUUCCUCGUGUGUAUUCCUCUGUUUGUAUUUUAAUUCAGUGUGACAUUCAUUUCUCAAAUAUAUCCCCAGUAUGAAUAUGCUUCUUAAUGCACCGAUUUUUAAACUAGAAAAUCGCACAAAUGUGUUCAUGUUUCAAGGAGUGAAAUUAAUGCUGUAAGUAGAUCAGUUUUUUAACCACAUGCGGUUUAAUCUGAAGAGUGACCCAAGGGAAUAUAAAGUACUUUUGAAAUAACAGGGCAAUGAGAGACAAUCCAAAGGCUAAAAGAAUGGUGGAAACUCAUAAGGCAGCCAAGAGAUACCACAUUAUCCUACCUGACACCAACCAACGAACCAUUCUUUUAAUCAAACAAGAUAGGUUCUGUAAGACAUGGUCACUGCCUCUAAAGAGUGUAAAUCUAGUUCAACAGAAAUACAUAAACUUUUGAAAGGAUAGUAACAAAUCAGGUCUGUAGAUGUCAAGAUCACAACAAAAGAUAUAAACAAAGAACUCAGAGGAGUUCACCAUCAUCUGGGCAAAACUAGUCAAUUUAGGGAAGGAAGUUCGCAAAAGAGGAAAAUACAAAAUGAAUCUUACAGAGUGUUAAAGAUUUAGGGGCACCUGGCUGGCUUAGUUGGAGCAUGUGACUCUUAAUCUCAGGGUUGUGAGUUUAAGCCCAAUGUUGGGUGUGGAGCCUAUUUUUAAAAAAGGGAUAUUAAAGAUUCAGAUAAAUGGGAAGGAAAGAGAAAAUAGAGUCCUUUAUUUUUAUUUAUUUAUUUUUUAAAUAGAGUCCUUUAAAUGAAUGGAAUAUUGUGAGCACAGCCAUGGAGGAACGAAUCUAUGUGAUGAAUUUAAGGAAUUAUGAAUAUACAUGUCUAGUUGACAUUCAGUGCAUAUAUAUAUAUAUAUAUAUAUUAAGGACUCCACACACACGCUUCCCCUCUCCCACCCUGGGUGUCAUCUAGAACUAUCAUCGUAUCUCUUUGCCAUUAAAGCAAGUGAGAAUGAUUGGUGGUAAUGUGAGAACUUAUGAUUUUUCUGUUAACUUAAUAGUAAUUGGUAUUCACUGAGUUCUUACUCUAUGUUAAGCAUUUUAUAUAGGAACCCACCUAAGCCUGCAAUUCAGAACAACCCUGCAAAAUCGGUAUUAUUAUCCCUGUUUUAAAGAUAAGGUUUAAUGAGGUCAAGUAACUUGCCAAACUACCAUAUACAUGGUUCACAUUCAGAACUGUGAUCACAAAGCUCCUGAUCUAAAAGCAGUAAAUCACAAUAUUGCGAUCAAUGUUGCAGUAUUACCACUUCAAUAUUCCUCAAUAGUUUUUUACGAUAAACAAAUAGGUCAUUCAGUUAUCCCUUCAAUCUUUUCUGUUUUCUGCUAAAAUCAUGGAAAGAAUUUUCAUGAUAGAAAAUUGAAAGAAUUGGGUAAUAGAGUUUAUCAGCAUUUUAGUUUUUUUUUGUUGUUGUUGCUGCUUUUGUUUUUUUGCCAGAUGUUGAGGAAAUUGUUCACUGUGUUCUGCAUGAAAUCUCAAAUUCUUGAGAAUUAAAAAAAGAGGGGGGCACUUAAAGGUCAUCUGUUGCAAUGUGCUUUUCUACAGAUGACAAAUCAAAGUUAGAGCGACUUACGGAAGAUCACACAUUUGAGUGUGGCUGAGCUAGGUUCAGAAACCAGGCUGUCCAGUCUCCUUUCAGAGGCUCUUGAACUACUCCACCCUGCCUAAAUGAAGGACAAAUUUGAAUUUGAUCAAAGAAAGCAUUGUUUCUGGAUGAUCAUUGCACCUAGUAGAUUGUUUCAGUUUUUCACCUCUUUGGCUUCCCACCUCAAUGUGAAAAAUAGCCCGUUAUGAACUAACAUCUUUUGAUGCAUAAACUGUCAAUAAUCCAUCCCCAGAGAACACAUAAUGGCUCAGGUUAUGUGUAUAAUGUCUUCAAUGACAUUCUUAAGUUAUUUGAAAUUCUUAGCUCACCUAAACAAAUCGGAUCUUCUAAUGAGCCUUUUCUUACCCAAUUUUAUGCACAGUAUGUAUUUGUAAGUGCUUCUGCAUGAAUAUUUAUACAUGACUGUUUCAAUAGUCCUUAUGUUUUUGAAAAUAUCAAUGGUUAUUUGCUAUUUUAAUCCUCACUUAUCCAUGUAACGAACUCAAGAAUACUUCAGCCCUAAAAAGCUAGAAUUGAGGAAAUCUCACUCUUCUUUACCAGCUCCUUUGCAUUUAGUUGGCAUUUAGUAAUGAUUAAUAAAGUGGUCAGCUGGAUAACA